GACGAACGCUGGCGGCGUGCCUAAUACAUGCAAGUAGAACGCUGAAGGGGGAGCUUGCUCUUCUGGAUGAGUUGCGAACGGGUGAGUAACGCGUAGGUAACCUGCCUGGUAGCGGGGGAUAACUAUUGGAAACGAUAGCUAAUACCGCAUAACAGUAGAUGUUGCAUGACAUUUACUUAAAAGGUGCAAUUGCAUCACUACCAGAUGGACCUGCGUUGUAUUAGCUAGUUGGUGGGGUAACGGCUCACCAAGGCGACGAUACAUAGCCGACCUGAGAGGGUGAGCGGCCAAACUGGGACUGAGACACGGCCCAGAAUCCUACGGGAGGCAGCAGGAGGGAAUCUUCGGCAAUGGACGGAAGUCUGACCGAGCAACGCCGCGUGAGUGAAGAAGGUUUUCGGAUCGUAAAGCUCUGUUGUAAGAGAAGAAAGAGUGUGAGAGUGGAAAGUUCACACUGUGACGGUAUCUUACCAGAAAGGGACGGCUAACUACGUG
This 495-nucleotide ribosomal RNA is filed under the name uncultured bacterium. Its description in RNAcentral is "partial 16S ribosomal RNA". It matches the Rfam family "Bacterial small subunit ribosomal RNA", at positions 28 to 507 of the family's 1533-position model. The record is from RNAcentral.